This 691-nucleotide ribosomal RNA is filed under the name uncultured bacterium. RNAcentral describes it as "bacterial SSU rRNA". It matches the Rfam family "Bacterial small subunit ribosomal RNA", at positions 140 to 828 of the family's 1533-position model. The record is from RNAcentral.
GGGAUAAGCGGAAGAAAUUCCGUCUAAUACCGCGUAAUAACUCCGAGGGGCAUCUCUUGGGGUUUAAAGGGUAACACCGGCUACGGAUGGCCAUGCGGCGCAUUAGCUAGUUGGCGGGGUAACGGCCCACCAAGGCGACGAUGCGUAGGGGUUCUGAGAGGAAGGUCCCCCACACUGGUACUGAGACACGGACCAGACUCCUACGGGAGGCAGCAGUGAGGAAUAUUGGUCAAUGGGCGCGAGCCUGAACCAGCCAAGUCGCGUGAGGGAAGACGGUCCUAUGGAUUGUAAACCUCUUUUGUCGGGGAGCAAAAGACGCCACGCGUGGCGUUCCGAGAGUACCCGAAGAAAAAGCAUCGGCUAACUCCGUGCCAGCAGCCGCGGUAAUACGGAGGAUGCGAGCGUUAUCCGGAUUUAUUGGGUUUAAAGGGUGCGCAGGCGGAAGAUCAAGUCAGCGGUAAAAUUGGGAGGCUCAACCUCUUCGAGCCGUUGAAACUGGUUUUCUUGAGUGAGCGAGAAGUAUGCGGAAUGCGUGGUGUAGCGGUGAAAUGCAUAGAUAUCACGCAGAACUCCGAUUGCGAAGGCAGCAUACCGGCGCUCAACUGACGCUCAUGCACGAAAGUGUGGGUAUCGAACAGGAUUAGAUACCCUGGUAGUCCACACAGUAAACGAUGAAUAAUAAUUGUUCGGG